GAUGAACGCUGGCGGCGUGCCUAAUACAUGCAAGUCGAGCGAACGGACGAGAAGCUUGCUUCUCUGAUGUUAGCGGCGGACGGGUGAGUAACACGUGGAUAACCUACCUAUAAGGCUGGGAUAACUUCGGGAAACCGGAGCUAAUACCGGAUGAUAUUUUGAACCGCAUGGUUCAAAAGUGAAAGACGGUCUUGCUGUCACUUAUAGAUGGAUCCGCGCUGCAUUAGCUAGUUGGUAAGGUAACGGCUUACCAAGGCAACGAUGCAUAGCCGACCUGAGAGGGUGAUCGGCCACACUGGAACUGAGACACGGUCCAGACUCCUACGGGAGGCAGCAGUAGGGAAUCUUCCGCAAUGGGCGAAAGCCUGACGGAGCAACGCCGCGUGAGUGAUGAAGGUCUUCGGAUCGUAAAACUCUGUUAUUAGGGAAGAACAUAUGUGUAAGUAACUGUGCACAUCUUGACGGUACCUAAUCAGAAAGCCACGGCUAACUACGUG
Molecule: ribosomal RNA, 497 nt
Filed under: uncultured bacterium
Lineage: Bacteria
Description: partial 16S ribosomal RNA
Rfam family: Bacterial small subunit ribosomal RNA
Source: RNAcentral